GUGCCAGCAGCCGCGGUAAUACGUAGGGUGCAAGCGUUAAUCGGAAUUACUGGGCGUAAAGCGUGCGCAGGCGGUUUUGUAAGACAGUGGUGAAAUCCCCGGGCUCAACCUGGGAACUGCCAUUGUGACUGCAAGGCUAGAGUGCGGCAGAGGGGGAUGGAAUUCCGCGUGUAGCAGUGAAAUGCGUAGAUAUGCGGAGGAACACCGAUGGCGAAGGCAAUCCCCUGGGCCUGCACUGACGCUCAUGCACGAAAGCGUGGGGAGCAAACAGGAUU
This 275-nucleotide ribosomal RNA is filed under the name uncultured Burkholderiales bacterium. RNAcentral describes it as "partial 16S ribosomal RNA". It matches the Rfam family "Bacterial small subunit ribosomal RNA", at positions 505 to 779 of the family's 1533-position model. Lineage: Bacteria; Pseudomonadati; Pseudomonadota; Betaproteobacteria; Burkholderiales. The record is from RNAcentral.